Molecule: long non-coding RNA, 3100 nt
Organism: Vespa velutina
Lineage: Eukaryota; Metazoa; Arthropoda; Insecta; Hymenoptera; Vespidae
Exons: 2
Source: RefSeq, a predicted model, not a curated record
GAUAUGUAGAAAGAGAUGUAUAUGAAGCGAGAUAAGUGAGGUGAUCACAAGUAUGAAAAAUUUCGAAAAUGAUUAUAAAUUGCGGCGUCUGACUUGUUCGAUAAUCAAACGACGAAGGGAUCUUUUUUCUUUAUUGCCACGACCACCACUACCAGCCUAUUUGUAGCUCUCUACUGCGUCUACUACUUUUCUGCUGUAAAUUACGUCACUGUUUUACUACAUACCAGCAUUUUCUCUCGAAUAAGAACUGAUCGUUGUGCCCGAUUCCGAGCAACCUUUAUCGUUUCAAUAUUUUUUUAUCCUUUUUAUUCUUUGUUUACACACACACACACGCAUAAUUUUUUUAUUUCCUUUUUUCGUUUACGACAACUUGGGGUCCUGAACUAUUUUUGCUCGGACUCGAGGUAGUCGUAAAAACAUACUAUCUAAAAUUCUAAUGAUUUACUUUGAUGAAAAAUACUUUGAUGAAUAUAACCGAGAACGGACGUUUUUUCUUUCUACAUUUUUUCUUUUUGAUUGUAACGAACGCCUCCUGCGCAUAAUUCGAAUUAUGCAUGAUCUUUACACGAUGAUCGAUAUUCUUACAUUUGUAAGAAACGUCCGUUCUCGAUACAUUUAUGUACAUACGAAAUUAUGAGCGACAUAUCGACGAUUCGAUCGGACAUUGAUGCAGCAUUAUGAGUCGACGUGCAUAGCGAGGAGGUUAUCGCGUACGCACGAACGGUGCAUAAGUACGACAAUAAUCAUUGAUCUAAAUUAUUUAUUCCUUCUGACCGAUCGAUCGUCAUCGAUGUGAAAAUUUCAACUUUGCUACUUCUACGAGUGGAAAUUUUCAAUAAAUGCAUGUUUUUUCUUUUUUUCUUUUUUCCAUAACAACUAUGUCUUCUAUAAUAUGCUAUGUACAAUACGCUUAUGCGUCCCGUAAGUUCGUUUGCCAUAACCUCGAUCAUCUUUGGCCUUCCGUAUUUGCAAGAUAAAUGCGCUUUCGAAACAACAACUAAGAAAAAGAAAAAAAAAAAAAAAAUAAAUAAAUAAAUAAAAAAAAAAUAAAAAUAAAAGGGAGAGAACGUACACCGACAGAUAAGAUCGAGGAGAUAAGAUCGAUUCGAAAAAUCAAUUGUACGCUUUUAUCGAAGACGAAAAUGAAAAAAAAAAAAAAAAAAAAAAAAAGAAAAAGAAAAAAAUAAAUAAAAAGAUUAUCUACGAUAUAUACGAUGUGCACGUUCCCGCCAUUUUUCAAUACCAAUCACAUUUUUUUUUUUCCCUUUAUUUCCUGGAUGAGAAUGUUUGUAGGCUGAACGAACUUACGACGGAAUUACAGACUUUACCUGAGCACUGGGAGUUCGUCGAAAGCUGGCUGCAGGUCUUGAUAGGACACACGAUUCUUAUGUCUACAAGCAAUAUGUUAUACACCCCGUUCGUAAUUAAAACUGACGUGGCAUGGAGAUUCUUAAGGCAUAAAAAAGAAGCGGUUGCGUAGGCGCCAAAGAGGAUUAAAUUGUGCGACGACGCAAACAACUAAUGUCUUUUCGUUUAUCUAGUUUCCUACGUAGUUACGUACUUACUUACGUAUCUACGUAAUACCCACGUAUGUAUCUAUUUACUUAGCUAUAAUUUUUCCAUCAUAUUUGUAUUCUAUAUUUUAUCUUAACACAUCGCCGAACUUAAUCCUCGCGAGAGCGAUAAUCGUUUAAGAGGAUCAACCGUCUCCUUUCUCUCCAUCCUGUUUCGUUCCUCUUCGUUUUCAUCUCUUUAUCCUAUUUCCCCUUAUCCCCCCCCACCGUGAACUCUCUUUCUCUCUCUCUCUCUCUCUCUCUCUCUGUCCUUCCUCUUCGUUUUGAUUGGUUUCACGAUCUUUAAAGGAGCAGCCCAUCGUUCGAGAAAUCAUUUUGGUCCUGACAGUCCUCGUGUCAAGGUGGAAAUGAGAGAUCGAUGGUAUAUUAGGACUCUUCCCGAUGAUAUUCUUCUUACCGUCGUCGCGCUCGCCGUCGCAAUUCGUAAUGGGAUGAUGCGCGUUCAGCGCUGGACCUCCACCACAGACGGCCGCUCGCCGAACGUCUCGUUCUGAUGUCACAGGUCAAGAUGGCACAGGUUUCGGGACACGUAACACACGACACACAUAGAGAGAGAGCGAGAGCAUGCAGAGAAAAAAUAUAGAGACUCACGGAUUAACGAAGGGUGCCAUGUAGGACCAAAGAAGGACCGAGAUAUGUUAGCGUCGGAUUAAGAGGGAGGAUAUUUUCUUUUUCUUUCUUUUCUUUUUUUUUUUUUCUUUCCGUUUUUCCCCCACCCCACCCUUCGAAUAGUAAUCCAUCGAAACAAGUUAUUACGAAGUCUGGGAAGAUUUUAGAAAAAUGAACAGCGCCCCGAAUUUUAUGUAAAGUUUUAUGUGAAAUAGCUUUCGAAAGUAAUAUUACUUGGUAUUCGCGAGAAGCUGGGCGUAUCCGUAGGAUUUUCGAAAGGGGGAGGGUCGGAAGGGUGGGAGGAGGGGUCGAUAAAGAGGUCGUUUUAUACUACAGACCGGUGGCCGAGGAGUCAUGGCGUCGCGACGGCACCCCCGUCGGCGCGUUGUUGGCGUUGCUGAGGUAAACCGUGGCCGUUGAGGAGGGCGACGCCCCGGUUUGACUGUUCUGGCUGUUGCCGCUCGAAUUGCUCGAACCACUGCCCACGCUUCCUGUGCUGCCAGCUAGUCAUGCAACCAAUCCAACCAAAAAACAAAAGAAAAUACGAGCUAGUUUCAGCCAUCAUCCAGAAGCGAAAAUCCAAGAAAUGUAGACCAAGAAUAAGGAGAGAAGAGAUAUAAAGGAGGAAAUAUGUAUGCGAAUGUGAAUACGAGAGAAUGAAAUGGAUCAAGAGACGAUGCUACGUUUUUCUUUUUUUUUUCUUUCUUUUUUCCUUUCUGUUCUCUCUGCUCCAGCAGUCUACUUCCAUACUACUUCUCGCGCGUUCAGAAACGUAAAACGAAGAAAGGAUGGGUAUAUUAGAAAUUUAUCGGAUAAAUAUGUAUGUCGAAUGGUACGAUACACACCACACGUUCAAUAAAAUGUUAAAGAAGAAAAAUACGAUUAUGUAUGUUGACGGAUAAACGAUGUAAAGUGUA